Molecule: ribosomal RNA, 737 nt
Filed under: uncultured bacterium
Lineage: Bacteria
Description: bacterial SSU rRNA
Rfam family: Bacterial small subunit ribosomal RNA
Source: RNAcentral
CAACCUGCCCUGCAGAUGGGGAUAACACCGGGAAACCGGGGCUAAUACCGAAUAAUCAGUUCCUCCGCAUGGAGGAACUCUGAAAGGCGGUUUCGGCUGUCACUGCAGGAUGGGCCCGCGGCGCAUUAGCUAGUUGGUGGGGUAAUGGCCUACCAAGGCGACGAUGCGUAGCCGACCUGAGAGGGUGAUCGGCCACACUGGGACUGAGACACGGCCCAGACUCCUACGGGAGGCAGCAGUAGGGAAUCUUCCACAAUGGACGAAAGUCUGAUGGAGCAACGCCGCGUGAGCGAAGAAGGUUUUCGGAUCGUAAAGCUCUGUUGUGGGGUAAGAACWWGUACGGGAGUAACUGCCCGUACCUUGACGGUACCUCAUUAGAAAGCCACGGCUAACUACGUGCCAGCAGCCGCGGUAAUACGUAGGUGGCAAGCGYUGUCCGGAAUUAUUGGGCGUAAAAGCGCGCGCAGGCGGUCCUUUUAGUCUGAUGUGAAAGCCCCACGGCUCAACCCUGGGAGGGGUCAUUGGGAAACUGGGGGGACUUGGAGUACAGAAGAGGAAAAGCGGAAUUUCCACGGUGUAGCGGUGAAAUGUGUAGAAGAUGUGGAGGACCACCAGUGGGCGAAGGCGGCUUUUCUGGGUCUGUAACUGAUCGCUGGAGGCGCGAAAGCGUGGGGAGGCAACAAGGGAUAGAUUACCCUGGUAGUCCCUCGCCGUAAACAAUGAGGGCUAAGAGGUAA